RNAcentral lists this ribosomal RNA (472 nucleotides) under Streptococcus mitis. RNAcentral's name for it is "bacterial SSU rRNA". It matches the Rfam family "Bacterial small subunit ribosomal RNA", at positions 38 to 496 of the family's 1533-position model. The record is from RNAcentral. Lineage: Bacteria; Bacillati; Bacillota; Bacilli; Lactobacillales; Streptococcaceae.
GGCGGCGUGCCUAAUACAUGCAAGUAGAACGCUGAAGGAGGAGCUUGCUUCUCUGGAUGAGUUGCGAACGGGUGAGUAACGCGUAGGUAACCUGCCUGGUAGCGGGGGAUAACUAUUGGAAACGAUAGCUAAUACCGCAUAAUAGUAGAUGUUGCAUGACAUUUACUUAAAAGGUGCAAUUGCAUCACUACCAGAUGGACCUGCGUUGUAUUAGCUAGUUGGUGGGGUAACGGCUCACCAAGGCGACGAUACAUAGCCGACCUGAGAGGGUGAUCGGCCACACUGGGACUGAGACACGGCCCAGACUCCUACGGGAGGCAGCAGUAGGGAAUCUUCGGCAAUGGACGGAAGUCUGACCGAGCAACGCCGCGUGAGUGAAGAAGGUUUUCGGAUCGUAAAGCUCUGUUGUAAGAGAAGAACGAGUGUGAGAGUGGAAAGUUCACACUGUGACGUAUCUACCAGAAAGGACGCA